This 467-nucleotide ribosomal RNA is filed under the name uncultured bacterium. Its description in RNAcentral is "partial 16S ribosomal RNA". It matches the Rfam family "Bacterial small subunit ribosomal RNA", at positions 29 to 507 of the family's 1533-position model. The record is from RNAcentral.
ACGAACGCUGGCGGCGUGCUUAACCCAUGCCAGUCGAACGGAAAGGCCCUUCUUUUGUGGGGUGCUCGAGUGGCGAACGGGUGAGUAACACGUGAGUAACCUGCCCUUGACUUUGGGAUAACUUCAGGAAACUGGGGCUAAUACCGGAUAGGAGCUCCUGCUGCAUGGUGGGGGUUGGAAAGUUUCGGCGGUUGGGGAUGGACUCGCGGCUUAUCAGCUUGUUGGUGGGGUAGUGGCUUACCAAGGCUUUGACGGGUAGCCGGCCUGAGAGGGUGACCGGCCACAUUGGGACUGAGAUACGGCCCAGACUCCUACGGGAGGCAGCAGUGGGGAAUAUUGCACAAUGGGCGGAAGCCUGAUGCAGCAACGCCGCGUGCGGGAUGACGGCCUUCGGGUUGUAAACCGCUUUCGCCUGUGACGAAGCGUGAGUGACGGUAAUGGGUAAAGAAGCACCGGCUAACUACGUG